RNAcentral lists this ribosomal RNA (909 nucleotides) under Paraclostridium bifermentans. RNAcentral describes it as "bacterial SSU rRNA". It matches the Rfam family "Bacterial small subunit ribosomal RNA", at positions 1 to 881 of the family's 1533-position model. Lineage: Bacteria; Bacillati; Bacillota; Clostridia; Peptostreptococcales; Peptostreptococcaceae. The record is from RNAcentral.
AUAAGUUUUUAAUCUGGCUCAGGACGAACGCCGGGCGGCGUGCCUAAUACAUGCAAGUCUAUAGAUUUUUUUUUCCUGGCUCAGGAUGAUCGCCGGCGAGAGUACAUAACGCAUGCAAGUCGAGCGAUCUUUUGGGAGAGAGCGGCGGACGGGGUGAGUAACGCGUGGGUACACCUGCCCUGUACACUACGGAUAACAUUCUCGAACAGGUAUAAUAAUACGGGAUAACAUAUGAAAGUCGCAUGGAUUUUGUAUCAAAGCUCCGGCGGUACAGGAUGGACCCGCGUCUGAUUAGCUAGUUGGUAAGGUAAUGGCUUACCAAGGCAACGAUCAGUAGCCGACCUGAGAGGGUGAUCGGCCACACUGGAAGUGAGACGCGGUCCAGACUCCUCCGGGAGGCAGCAGUGGGGAAUAUUGCACAAUGGGAGAAAACAUGAUGCAGCAAUCCCGCGUGAGCGAUGAAGGCCUUCGGGUCGUAAAGCUCUGUCCUCAAGGAAGAUAAUGACGGUACUUGAGGAGGAAGCCCCGGCUAACUACGUGCCAGCACCCGCGGUAAUACGUAGGGGGCUAGCGUUAUCCGGAAUUGGUGGGAGUAAAGGGUCAGUAGGUGGUUUUUUAAGUCAGAAGUGAAAGCCUACGGCUCAACCGUAGUAAGCUUUUGAAACUAGAGAACUUGAGUGCAGGAGAGGAGAGUAGAAUUCCUAGUGUAGCGGUGAAAUGCGUAGAUAUUAGGAGGAAUACCAGUAGAGAAGGCGUCUCUGUGGACUGUAACUGACAGAGAGGCACGAAAGCGUGGGGAGCACACAGGAUUAGACCCCCUGGUAGUCCACGCCGUAAACGAUGAGUAAUAGGUUCGGGGGUUACCCCCCUCGGUGCCGCAGCUAACGCAUAAGACUCCGCCGGGAGGCG